CCGGGAAACCGGAGCUAAUACCGGAUACUCCGUCCGAACCACAUGGCUCGGCCGGGAAAGGUCCGCCGGUGAGGGAUGGGCCCGCGGCCUAUCAGCUUGUUGGUGGGGUAACGGCCCACCAAGGCGACGACGGGUAGCUGGUCUGAGAGGACGACCAGCCACACUGGGACUGAGAUACGGCCCAGACUCCUACGGGAGGCAGCAGUGGGGAAUCUUGCGCAAUGGGCGAAAGCCUGACGCAGCGACGCCGCGUGGGGGAUGAAGGCCCUCGGGUUGUAAACCCCUUUCGGCAGGGACGAAGCGAUCGUGACGGUACCUGCAGAAGAAGCCUCGGCUAACUACGUGCCAGCAGCCGCGGUAACACGUGGGAGGCGAGCGUUGUCCGGAUUCAUUGGGCGUAAAGAGCGCGCAGGCGGUUUGGCAAGUCGGAUGUGAAAUCCCGAGGCUCAACCUCGGGACUGCAUCCGAUACUGCCCGACUAGAGGUAGGUAGGGGAGAUCGGAAUUCCUGGUGUAGCGGUGAAAUGCGCAGAUAUCAGGAGGAACACCGGUGGCGAAGGCGGAUCUCUGGGCCUUACCUGACGCUCAGGCGCGAAAGCUAGGGGAGCGAACUGGAUUAGAUACCCAGGUAGUCCUAGCCGUAAACGUUGGGUGCUAGGUGUGGGCGGACAUCGACCCCGUCCGUGCCGAAGCUAACGCAUUAAGCACCCCGCCUGGGGGAGUACGGCCGCAAGGCUAAAACUCAAAGGAAUUGACGGGGCCCCGCACAAGCGGCGGAGCAUGUUGCUUAAUUCGAUGCGACGCGAAGAACCUUACCUGGGCUUGACAUGCAGGGGGAAACCCCGUGAAAGCGGGCGCUCUUUCGGAGCCUGCACAGG
This 877-nucleotide ribosomal RNA is filed under the name uncultured bacterium. RNAcentral describes it as "bacterial SSU rRNA". It matches the Rfam family "Bacterial small subunit ribosomal RNA", at positions 149 to 1038 of the family's 1533-position model. The record is from RNAcentral.